GCAUAUCAAUAAGCGGAGGAAAAGAAACUAACAAGGAUUCCCCUAGUAACUGCGAGUGAAGCGGGAAAAGCUCAAAUUUAAAAUCUGGUAGUCUUUGAUUGCCCGAGUUGUAGUCUGGAGAAGCGUUUUCCGUGUUGGACCGUGUACAAGUCUCUUGGAAUAGAGCGUCAUAGAGGGUGAGAAUCCCGUCUUUGACACGGACUGCCAAUGCUUUGUGAUGCGCUCUCAAAGAGUCGAGUUGUUUGGGAAUGCAGCUCAAAAUGGGUGGUAAAUUCCAUCUAAAGCUAAAUAUUGGCGAGAGACCGAUAGCGAACAAGUACCGUGAGGGAAAGAUGAAAAGCACUUGAAAGAGAGUUAAACAGUACGUGAAAUUGCUGAAAGGGAAACGAUUGAAGUCAGUCGCGUUGCUCAGAACUCAGCCUGGCUUUGCUGGUGCAUUUCUGAUAACGGGCCAGCAUCAAUUUUGAUCGUUGGAUAAAGGCCUUUGGAAUGUGGCAUCCUCGGAUGUGUUAUAGCCCUUGGUUGCAUACAACGGUUGGAUUGAGGUUCUCAGCACACCUUAUGGUCGGGGUUCGCCCACGCUUGUGCUUAGGAUGCUUGCGUAAUGGCUUUAAACGACCCGUCUUGAAACACGGACCAAGGAGUCUAACAUGCCUGCGAGUGUUUGGGUGGAAAACCCGAGCGCGUAAUGAAAGUGAAAGUUGGGAUCUCUGUCGUGGAGAGCACCGACGCCCGGACCAGAACUUCUGUGACGGAUCUGCGGUAGAGCAUGUAUGUUGGGACCCGAAAGAUGGUGAACUAUGCCUGAAUAGGGUGAAGCCAGAGGAAACUCUGGUGGAGGCUCGUAGCGAUUCUGACGUGCAAAUCGAUCGUCAAAUUUGGUAUAGGGCGAAAGACUAUCG
This 902-nucleotide ribosomal RNA is filed under the name Phlebia bresadolae. Its description in RNAcentral is "LSU rRNA". It matches the Rfam family "Eukaryotic large subunit ribosomal RNA", at positions 38 to 937 of the family's 3401-position model. The record is from RNAcentral. Lineage: Eukaryota; Fungi; Basidiomycota; Agaricomycetes; Polyporales; Meruliaceae.